CUGUGCUCAACUUAUGUAAUGUACUGCAGCCUUAAGAUGCAGUAUCCUGAUCAAGCUCAUGGUGUUGUUAACAGGAAGCUGGGUCAGGCUGUACAGGGUGUCACUUGUGAAAUGAUUGAAAAAAUCAAUCAAACUGAUGUUUUGGAAAUGGCACAGAUACUUAACGAAUCCUUCGCAUGGCUCUCCAGGGUUCAGGUAAACAUCACAUAUUUAUUUAUUUUUUUCCACACAUUCUUUCAUCAGAUAUGUCUCCAUGAUAAAAAAUGUAAUUUUUCUUUCUAAGAUUCGCUGUACAGCUCAAAAAAUCUUUGCAAGUCUGGAGGAACAGAGGCCAGGAUAUUUCACGAACAUUAACAACUCUGAGCUUCAGGCUAUCCCAUCGAUACUACUUAUCCAUCUGCCAGUGGAGCAGAUUCAAAACCUGUCAGAUGUUGUGUGUCCUGCUUUCAUGGAAAAGAUGAAGCAAGUCAACCUGUCAUCUCUGCCGAACAGCUCUCCAGCACGCUACACACUUACUAAAAGAGCCAUCGGCUGCCUGAAGGGGAACGUGUCUGAUCUUUCUGCGGCAGAGGUUUUGACUCUAGGCCCUCUGGUGUGUGAGUUAGACCCAGCUUGGAUUUCCUCUCUGAACCCUGCAGCUCUGAACUCCACGCUGAAGGCUCUCGUAUCCUGUCAGUAUAUCCAGCAACAGCACAGAGAGCAUCUGUUCAGACUGCUUACAACCACCUACGGGUAACAGCAUGUGCUAAAUCACACAUAACCCACAAGGGCUUCACACAGCCCACAGUCUUACGCAUAACCCCUGCAACCUCAGAUCCCACAUCAGUGCUUUUCUAGUUCAUUGUUAAAGAGACUGUGAAGCCCACUGUGGCUUCAAAACAAACGCAUCUUAAACAUUUGAAAAAUUCUUCACAUUAAACAGCCUUCUACUCCCAGCCUUGAGUCACACAGCAGUAAAACCUGUGCUUGAAUUAGAUGUUUUGCAUUGCUGUUAAUGAUGCGUUUGUCUUUUCUUUGAACAAGGGACCCUGCUUACUGGUCAGAGGAAGACAUGAGGGUGCUUGGGCCACUUUUGUUACUUAAUGACACUGUUAUUGAAAAGCUGCCGGCCAAAGUAAGAAUCUCAGCAAUGACCAGUAGAUUAUGGAAAAGUGGGAUUAGAUUGUUAAAUGUACACAUAUGUAAAAUAAUUUAAUAUUUAAAUAAUAAUAAA
This 1213-nucleotide long non-coding RNA is filed under the name Carassius auratus (goldfish). RNAcentral's name for it is "lncRNA (ENSCARG00000058334.1)". Lineage: Eukaryota; Metazoa; Chordata; Actinopteri; Cypriniformes; Cyprinidae. The record is from RNAcentral.